GGUUCCGUAGGCAAACUGGCAAAGCCGUCUGACUUAGAAUCAGGUGUUUGGGAGUUCGACUCUCCCCGGAACUACGC
Molecule: transfer RNA, 77 nt
Filed under: Mycobacterium phage Clautastrophe
Lineage: Duplodnaviria; Heunggongvirae; Uroviricota; Caudoviricetes; Vilmaviridae
Also listed under: 1 other name
Description: tRNA-Leu
Rfam family: tRNA
About the family: Transfer RNA (tRNA) molecules are approximately 80 nucleotides in length.
Source: RNAcentral